GACGAACGCUGGCGGCGUGCUUACACAUGCAAGUCGAACGGAAAGGCCCUGCUUUUGUGGGGUGCUCGAGUGGCGAACGGGUGAGUAACACGUGAGUAACCUGCCCUUGACUUUGGGAUAACUUCAGGAAACUGGGGCUAAUACCGGAUAGGAGCUCCUGCCGCAUGGUGGGGGUUGGAAAGUUUCGGCGGUUGGGGAUGGACUCGCGGCUUAUCAGCUUGUUGGUGGGGUAGUGGCUUACCAAGGCUUUGACGGGUAGCCGGCCUGAGAGGGUGACCGGCCACAUUGGGACUGAGAUACGGCCCAGACUCCUACGGGAGGCAGCAGUGGGGAAUAUUGCACAAUGGGCGGAAGCCUGAUGCAGCAACGCCGCGUGCGGGAUGACGGCCUUCGGGUUGUAAACCGCUUUCGCCUGUGACGAAGCGUGAGUGACGGUAAUGGGUAAAGAAGCACCGGCUAACUACGUG
This 467-nucleotide ribosomal RNA is filed under the name uncultured bacterium. RNAcentral describes it as "partial 16S ribosomal RNA". It matches the Rfam family "Bacterial small subunit ribosomal RNA", at positions 28 to 507 of the family's 1533-position model. The record is from RNAcentral.